GGACGCUAGUACAGGUGGUGCAUGGCUGUCGUCAGCUCGUGUCGUGAGAUGUUGGGUUAAGUCCCGCAACGAGCGCAACCCUUACCCUUAGUUGUUUUCCCGAAAGGAUUACCCUCUAAGGGGACUGCCCCGGACAACGGGGAGGAAGGUGGGGAUGACGUCAAGUCCGCAUGCUCCUUACGCUAGGGCUACACACGUCCUACAAUGGGGUCGACAGUGGGAUGCAAAGCCGCGAGGUGGAGCCAAUCCCCAAACGGCCUCUCAGUUCGGAUAGUAGUCUGCAACUCGACUACUUGAAGUCGGAAUCGCUAGUAAUGGCGGAUCAGCAUGCCGCCGUGAAUACGUUCCCGGGUCUU
RNAcentral lists this ribosomal RNA (356 nucleotides) under uncultured bacterium. RNAcentral's name for it is "bacterial SSU rRNA". It matches the Rfam family "Bacterial small subunit ribosomal RNA", at positions 1024 to 1382 of the family's 1533-position model. The record is from RNAcentral.